RNAcentral lists this ribosomal RNA (253 nucleotides) under uncultured bacterium. RNAcentral describes it as "partial 16S ribosomal RNA". It matches the Rfam family "Bacterial small subunit ribosomal RNA", at positions 524 to 776 of the family's 1533-position model. The record is from RNAcentral.
UACGUAGGGUGCAAGCGUUAAUCGGAAUUACUGGGCGUAAAGCGUGCGCAGGCGGUUUUGUAAGUCUGACGUGAAACCCCCGGGCUCAACCAGGGAAUUGCGUUGGAGACUGCAAGGCUAGAAUCUGGCAGAGGGGGGUAGAAUUCCACGUGUAGCAGUGAAAUGCGUAGAGAUGUGGAGGAACACCGAUGGCGAAGGCAGCCCCCUGGGUCAAGAUUGACGCUCAUGCACGAAAGCGUGGGGAGCAAACAGG